This 86-nucleotide transfer RNA is filed under the name Felis catus (domestic cat). It matches the Rfam family "tRNA". Rfam says of the family: Transfer RNA (tRNA) molecules are approximately 80 nucleotides in length. Their secondary structure includes four short double-helical elements and three loops (D, anti-codon, and T loops). The record is from Rfam by way of RNAcentral. Lineage: Eukaryota; Metazoa; Chordata; Mammalia; Carnivora; Felidae.
GCCUGGAUGGCUCAGUUGGUUAAGUGUCUGACUUUGGCUCAGGACGUGAUCUCACAGUUUGUGGGUUUGAGCCCCAUGUCCAGGCU